CAAGACAUUAAUUCUCUUUUACACAACCCAUUAUUUGCAGCAAGACAUUUUUCUCUUUUACAACAUAUAUGUAACAUUAUUGUAAUGAUUCAAAUUUAUAACCAGAUCAAUGAUGAAGUUAUGCUAAACCUUCAUCACUUCUGAACAUUUUCAACCCAUAUCCAAAAGGGAACAAGGGAUCAUAGUUAGCAUCUCCAACAUUUAUAGGCAGUUGAUCAGAAGACCUAAACCACGAUACAGGCAAUGUACCCACGAAAUCAUGAUCUCCAAAGAGGCAAUCAGUAAUUCCCAUGCCCUCACUUCCAGGUAGCCAGGCAGCAACUAGAGCAUCUAUCUUCUCCAGAACUUGUGGUUCAAUAACCAAGGGCCUUCCAGAUACAACAACCACUAGAGUAGGG
Molecule: long non-coding RNA, 398 nt
Filed under: Triticum aestivum (bread wheat)
Lineage: Eukaryota; Viridiplantae; Streptophyta; Magnoliopsida; Poales; Poaceae
Description: long non-coding RNA (TAES_LNC007824)
Source: RNAcentral